CUACGGGCGGCACCAGAGGGGAAUAUUGCACAAUGGGCGCAAGCCUGAUGCAGCCAUGCCGCGUGUAUGAAGAAGGCCUUCGGGUUGUAAAGUACUUUCAGCGGGGAGGAAGGGAGUAAAGUUAAUACCUUUGCUCAUUGACGUUACCCGCAGAAGAAGCACCGGCUAACUCCGUGCCAGCAGCCGCGGUAAUACGGAGGGUGCAAGCGUUAAUCGGAAUUACUGGGCGUAAAGCGCACGCAGGCGGUUUGUUAAGUCAGAUGUGAAAUCCCCGGGCUCAACCUGGGAACUGCAUCUGAUACUGGCAAGCUUGAGUCUCGUAGAGGGGGGUAGAAUUCCAGGUGUAGCGGUGAAAUGCGUAGAGAUCUGGAGGAAUACCGGUGGCGAAGGCGGCCCCCGGGACGAAGACUGACGCUCAGGUGCGAAAGCGUGGGGAGCAAACAGGAUUAGAUACCCGUGUAGUC
This 464-nucleotide ribosomal RNA is filed under the name uncultured bacterium. Its description in RNAcentral is "partial 16S ribosomal RNA". It matches the Rfam family "Bacterial small subunit ribosomal RNA", at positions 339 to 795 of the family's 1533-position model. The record is from RNAcentral.